GGGUCCGGGGCGGGGCGCUGCAGCCCGCGGAGCCUCCCGGCUGCCCCGGUUGGGGUCGCACCGUCCUGGACUCCCUUACCGACCUGCGGUGGCCAUGGAGGACGAGCGGAAGGACGGAGCCUACGUUGCCCUCUACAAUGCAUCCUCCACACAGCUUAAAGUGUUCCUUGACUUUCCACCUCCAGGACCAAGUUCAAAACCUUGCCACAGCGCCCAGGUCCAGCUGCCAUCUAUUGCCUUGGUGUGUUGUGCUACUUACCUUCCUGCUCCCAGAGCAGCCCCGACUCUGCCUGCCAAUGGUGCUUUUAAAAUGCAGUGUUCCUUCUCACCCCAGGGCCUUUGCACAGCCCUGGAACCUCUUCUCCACCUCUGUGCCCAAGUAUGUCCUUCUCCCUUGCAGCUAAUAAUUCUUCACUAUGUAGCUUAUUAGUGUCUAUCUUCCCACUGGAAUGAAUGCUGCAAGAAGUCAAGGAAUGGAUUCAUUUGGCUCACCGUUUAUCCCCAGAGCCCAAGACAGUGCCUGGCAAACAGCAGGCAGUAAAUGCUUGUUGAAUGACCAAGAAUGCCCGUUAUCUAGCAAUUAAAAUCAUACUGCUUGCUCAAGAGAGCCCAAGCUUGGGCUGAUGCUAAUUCUGCAAGAAACUUUUCAGACGGGUCACUGAAAUAAGGCCAGAUGGGGUGAUGAUGGAUGCCAAUAGAGAUACCAGGACAUAAUAUGCAAUGUUGACUUUUAAAGAGAAUGUUGACUUUCAAAUGACUAGACCCUGUAAUGCCCCCCAGCCCUCACCCACUGCUAACCAGGAUUCAGAUUCCAACAGACGGUUGAUAUUUUGAAGCAGACAGUUUUUUGCACUGGGGGCUCUUCUGCCAUAGUACCCUCUCCUCUCUCCAGGUGGGACAAGCUGAAAUGUCUCCAGACAUUGCCAAAGCCCCGUGGUGGUCAGGAUCAGUUCAGAUCCGGUACCAACAGUGGGCCCCAGUGAUGAGAGCCACAAGCUACUUUCUGCUACACUGUCUUGAUCCAGGAGUUGCAUUCAUACUAUCUAUUUGGGGGGGUCAUCAUCUACUUGAGUAUCUAAUGAAACCUAUUAAUUUUCCAGGGGCAGGAUGGGGCUGUCUAGACAUUCAAGCCCACUUCCUCAAUAUUUAGGAAGAUUUCUGACCCUCUGAAGUCCAUGUAUUCCCCCCCUGACAACCUGCUGCAGAGUUUAUGCACUUUAGCCUAAAAGGCCCUAGUCCAUGAAAGUGGGUGGACUGAGAUCUUCUAGGCAUUUUUUCAUUAAUAGCAUUUAUGGGUGUAUUGUCUUCCUCCUGCAAAGGAAAAAGGAAAAUAGAGCUACACACAGCAAGCAAACAUGUAAGUAAGGCAAUCGGAGGUGGGGAGUGGUGGGGGGAAAGCGAAACCGUGUCUGUUAAAAGGCGGUACCUAUUUUUCAUGCUACAAAAUGCUUUAUGGUAAGUCAAAGUUGGGUGUCAAUUUGACCCGGAGUCAAUGUAAAGGGAGAAACAUAAUCAGCUUAUACAUUCCAUUGUCCUGCAGGAUCCCCCGAGAGGGGGCCACUGUUUUCCCCUCUUUUCUCUCUCUCCCUUCUUCUUUUUUAAAAUCCUCCCCCCUCAUUUCCACAAAAUACAAUUUUAGGUUACUCAGGAGACAAAGUCCAAGCCCAUAGGAAACAGGAUGAAAUAAUUUCAGCUUAGUCCUAAACUAUUUAAUAAGGAGUCCCUAAAUGCCAGUGCAGCUUGGCAGCACCUUCCAGCGUGCUGCCCACCGCGUAGCAGGUGCUAGGCAAAGGGAAUUCUUACUGUUGGAUUAUAGUAAUGGACACAACCACACAGCAAAGUGCAUGUCAGCCAGAGACACCCUACAGGGAGGGAAACCAAGGCUCAGGGAGAGGUGUGGCAGGCUCACAUAGCCGGCAAGCAUCAAGGUUGUUGUUUGGUGCAUAUUAAUAUUCCAGGAAAGCCUCGUAGUGGCCGAAAAGCCUGGCAUGUUCCUGGGAAACAGCACAGACUUUGGGUAGAUGAUCAGUGGAUGUGCAGGGAGUGGAUACAUCUCUCAAAGCCAUGAGAUUCACUUGCCUGCAACCAGAGGCAAGGUAUUUCCCAAGCAGGCAGCCGCACCUUGCUAAGUGCUGGCAUGGGAGCUGGGGGGCAGGAAGCGGCAGGUGCGGAUCCCUGGAGAAAGGCACCUAUUCUUGGACAAAGCAUCCCCAGAGGGCUGGGCCCCUCCUGACCUGGGGCUGUCUCACCACUUUCUCUGCAGGUGAAUGACAUGGGCGCGCACAUACUUAGGAAGCUCCAGGGGCUCAGCAGACACCGAGAAGCUGUGAAACCUGAUUAGAAAUGGAAAACUUAAAAAAAAUUAAACUUGGAGAGUCUAGUUCCCGGAUCAAGACAAUACCCAAUGCCCCACCUCCAAGCUCUUGAGAAAGCAGAAGGAAAGAGACAGGUCAUGUCACCCAACGGGGCACUUGCUAUUUUUUUUAAAUUGUCAUUGUAAGGUGUUAAAUACUAUCUCAUUGUGGUUGUGACUUGCUUAUUCCUGAUGAUGAGGGAUAUAUUGAACAUCUUUUUCAUGUACCUCUGGGCCAUUUGGAUGUCUUCUUUGGAAAAAACGUCGUUCCUCUACUCAUUUUUUAAUCAAAUUUUUUAUUUUCUAGAGUAGAUCUUAAAUGUUCUCAACACAAAAAAGACAUGGUAAUUAUGUAUGAUGGGGACGUGAGCUAACAGUGUGAUGGUAACCAGGGUGCAGUAUAUAAAUGUGUCAACCUACACAAUGUUUUAAGUCCAUUUUAUCUCAAUAAAACCAGAGAGGAAAGAUGUAAAAAGCUAACCUUUUCAAACAAUAAGGCUUCUCUCUCACUUACCAACUUCACAUUUCCCUGUAUGGCCCCGGAAGAUGACUGGUUAGCCAGAGACAGGUAAGAUUCCUCAAGGGAGGAACAACCUAAGACAGGCACAGUCGCAGGGGGGCCAUCAGGUGAGAAAUUGGGGAUCAACAGAGGUGAGGCUUAGAACCUCACCCCCCCUGUUCUGAGAGAAAUCUUCUGCAUACGUGGAUGUUUUAUUGCCCUGGUCUAGCUUGGAUUAACACAUAGUCUACAGGCACACACCUGAUCAUCUACAUUUGCUCUCUUACAACACUAAACUAUGUUUUCUACCUUUAUCUUGUAUCUACCUACCACUUCAGCAUUUUAUUAAAAAUAAUAAAAAUAGAGAAAUGUAGUAUCCACACAUAAAUCAAGUAUAAAAACCAAAUGAGUAUUCAUAUUUGAACUGACUGUUUAGAGUUCAUAAUGCAUGAGCAAAACUGAAAGUUUCUGUGAUGACUGCCCUUGUACUGUUCACUAUGUAACUUAUUCAUUAUGUAAGAAUUUGUUCUCCAUGUAAGAACUUGUUUGUUAUGCCUCAGAAGAUUGGAGACUGACGAAAAUUAGGCUUGGGGUGGAUUAAUGAUUGUGCAUUGAGCAUUGACUCCCCUAUACAGAAUUUUACUGUCGUUAACAAUCAUUUGAUCAAUAAAUAUGAGAGAUGCCCUCACAAAAAAAAAAAAAAAAGGACAGACUUCCAAUGGUAAAAUAAAUUAGUAACCGGGAUGUAAUGUAUAGCAUAAGGAAUAUAGUCAAGAUAUUGUAACAGCCUGGUAGGGUGAUAGCUGGAACCUCGAAUUAUGUAUAUAAAUGUUCUACCACUGUGUUGUACACUUGAAACUAAUGUAAUGUAAUACUGUGCGUCAACUACCCUUCAAUAAAAAAUAAUUAUUAUAAAAAAAAAAAAAAAAAAAAAAAAACCAGAGAGGAAAAGAAGACCUCGAUCAUGUUGAGAAAUGGAAAACUCAUGGUUGGGCCCAGCGUCCAGAGAGAAUGGAGAAGCAGGAAGCUCAGGAGUAUGCAUGACAUUAAGGGACUGGCCAAACCCCUGUCUACUGGUGGGGAGACCCAGGCUGGGGGUGUGUGGGGUAGUGAGACCCUGUAGCUAUUCUGGGGAUGUCCCUUCUGUGGAAGAGGGGUGCAUCUGCCUUUUUCCUUGGAGAAGUCAAAAUGAGCCUUUAAAAUGGAAUGAGAAACUUCUUCUUACUCCUUUCAAUUAUGAUAUUGACUGUUUCCCGUGGAGUAGCAAAGCCCCCCAUCUGUGA
RNA transcript from Manis pentadactyla (Chinese pangolin), 4135 nucleotides. RefSeq lists it as uncharacterized. The record is from RefSeq and is a predicted model, not a curated record. NCBI's taxonomy places the organism in Eukaryota, Metazoa, Chordata, Mammalia, Pholidota, Manidae. The transcript is spliced from 2 exons.